Molecule: ribosomal RNA, 248 nt
Filed under: Mycoplasmopsis primatum
Lineage: Bacteria; Bacillati; Mycoplasmatota; Mycoplasmoidales; Metamycoplasmataceae
Description: Mycoplasma primatum partial 16S rRNA
Rfam family: Bacterial small subunit ribosomal RNA
Source: RNAcentral
AUUUUGGGGCUCAACCCCAAAACGCGUUGGAUACUGGCAAACUGGAGUUAUGUAGAGGUUAGCGGAAUUCCUUGUGAAGCGGUGAAAUGCGUAGAUAUAAGGAAGAACAUCAAUAUGGCGAAGGCAGCUAACUGGGCAUACACUGACACUGAGAGACGAAAGCGUGGGGAGCAAACAGGAUUAGAUACCCUGGUAGUCCACGCCCUAAACGAUGAUCAUUAGUUGAUGGGGAACUCAUCGACGCAGCU